UGUUUUAUUUAAUUGCCAAAGUAACAAGCUUUCUGCCGCGCUACAUUAUGGGUAAACGAAAAUGGUCACGUGACGGGACGGAGGGGUUGUUGGCGCUCCGUCAAACCGCUGCUUUCAGUUGACAGUGAAUGUCCAGGACCCGCAUAUACGUUUAAUUUCGUUAAACACAGGGGUUCAAAUCACUUUUCCAUCCGGUGACCUGUGUGGAGGUGCCUUUUACCCAGGAAAGCAACUAUUUUGUGGACAGCCUAGUUUGAAAAAACAACUACAAACAACGGAUUCUGAAUUACGAGGAAAACCACUCGACAGAACAGAACAGAUUUUCCACAUCGCAGAUGGAGAUCUCUAUGGGGGAGGAGGAAAAAAAUGACCUGUCUAGUCUAGACAAGGUCUAGCGCGGGAUGCAACCAAGGCCUUACAGUAGGGAAAUAUUGCUCCCUACCCGUCCUGCUUAAGACGACACCAAGGAAUCACAUCACCAAACCCUUUCACACACAACCCAACACACAGAUUAGCAGCCGGGUCUGUAAUAAAAAACAUCCGUUGAAUUAUAACGCUUUUAACCAAAGUGUGUGUGUGUGGGGGCGAGGGCAUGUCACACAUCAUCUAUGACCAGAAUGCGGCCCCUACUAAGGUGAUGCAGAGCAUCCAAAAGUUGCCACACCACUCACGACAACUCCUCCCGCACUCGCACUGAGGCAGCACAGGUUUGACCCUUAAAAUGGAUUGCACAAGAAAAGCAAGUGUAAGCCAAUUUCCUCGGUGAAGGAAGUAAACAGAACAAAUAGCAUUGGCUACAGCUGUUCUGUGAAUGGCAAGGAUCCAAAAGGAAGACGAGGCCAGCGAGCUUUGGCCAGAAGAAACAGCCCUAAUCUCUGCAUUUCCACAAAGCUUGACACGUAUCUUUAUUUAGCUGUGGCCUCAGUCCUCGAACGUCGGUGUGUUUUAGGUUUUAUUAUUGAAAAAGGAUGACCUUUCUCUCGCCUCGCCUUCCACCAAACCAUCUAAAUGCUAAACCGCCCACUGGAUGAAACACAGCUAUUUCUAUGAUCCACGGCAGCCACAACGGCAACGGGUCACCAUGGCAGGGUUCCAAGGCAAAAGCGAAGUGGGACAGUUAUUUUUGAAAUCCAUCUCUGAGUUCAAAACCAUUUUGUGGACCACAGAAGAUAUUGAGCCGGAGGUUAGUCUGUUAUGACCUACAUGGAGGAGGUCGAGGCUGAAGAAGGCAAUGACCCUAUAAAGGGGUGGAAGUGAGAUCCAAUCCUAACCAGGCAGUACCAGCCCUGAAUAUUAUCACUAAGACUCAGUCAUCCAUUGCUGAUUCGUUACAUACUGCAGCCCCUCUCUGCAACAACACUGCUAUAUGUAAAUCAUAUGUGUUAUGCUUAUUGCAGUGGUCUGGCUUGGUCUGUCACGGCGGGCCUCUGUGUCUUUCCCUUGUUCUGUGUCUUUAAGCAGGCAGGUUGGAUGGUGGGGCUGAAGACUAGCCAUUAGAAUGAUCCAGGGCUAUGUGUCCCAGAUCAUUCUAACGGCUCUCCAGCCAGCCUUAAAAGGCUCACAAGUCCCUUAGAGACGAGAGAGAAGCCCUCCGGGCUUCUCUCUCGUCUCUUAAGCCCUGGGGCUUUUCUCUUACCGGCAACUACUUCAUCUUUUUGACUCUGGUUUUUCCACCUCAGAACACCCACCUAACCUACUUUCCUUUUCACUCACACACCUACAUGACAGAUUUACUGACUUUUACUGACUUCUUCCUAUUAAAUGGAAGCUACGAUACAAUCGUCCCUUCCAUUAAACGACACAAACUCUACAAGCCACGAGUUUGUUUCGUUAAAUGCUUUUUUAUAAUAAAUUCUUCGUAAUUUUUCACUUAUAGUGUGUGUGCCUCCAUUUUUGUUGAGGCCCUUAGCCAGGUCAUAACUCCGUCGAUCAUACCAUCUGACAAUGUCAGUAUCAAAUGUGAAUUUUAAUUGCUUGUGUAUAGACCUAGUCAGUUUGUAAAUGUAGAACCAUAUUGUAAUGGAUUCAUAACUGCUUUUAUUCUGCCCUCUCAGUAUGUGUUGGUUAAGGGGGUUUGACUCCACCAAAAAGGAUCUAGAUCAGCUCCCCAAUGUAUGGUUCAUAAAUCGUUGAUACAUACCCCUACCAGCUCCUU
Molecule: long non-coding RNA, 2155 nt
Organism: Gadus macrocephalus (Pacific cod)
Lineage: Eukaryota; Metazoa; Chordata; Actinopteri; Gadiformes; Gadidae
Exons: 4
Source: RefSeq, a predicted model, not a curated record